This is a small nuclear RNA of Lontra canadensis (Northern American river otter), 103 nucleotides long. NCBI's taxonomy places the organism in Eukaryota, Metazoa, Chordata, Mammalia, Carnivora, Mustelidae. The record is from RefSeq and is a predicted model, not a curated record.
CUUGGUCAGCAAAAACUAUGCUUAAAUUGGAAUGAUACGGAGAGGAUUAGCAUGGUCCCUGCACAAGCAUGACACACAAAUUCAUUAAGUUUCCUGUACUUUA